Molecule: ribosomal RNA, 253 nt
Filed under: uncultured bacterium
Lineage: Bacteria
Description: partial 16S ribosomal RNA
Rfam family: Bacterial small subunit ribosomal RNA
Source: RNAcentral
UACAGAGGUCUCAAGCGUUGUUCGGAUUCAUUGGGCGUAAAGGGUGCGUAGGCGGCGCGGUAAGUCGGGUGUGAAAUCUCGGAGCUUAACUCCGAAACUGCAUUCGAUACUACCGUGCUUGAGGACUGGAGAGGAGACUGGAAUUUACGGUGUAGCGGUGAAAUGCGUAGAUAUCGAGAGGAACACCAGUGGCGAAGGCGAGUCUCUGGACAUUUCCUAACGCUGAGGCACGAAAGCCAGGGGAGCAAACGGG